AUGGAUACUCACGUUCUGCAUCGCAGACUCCAGCCGGCUCUCCUCGCCCUCCAGCAGCUUCCUGUAGGUGGCGAUCUCGAUGUCCAGGGCCACCUUGACGUUCAUCAGCUCCUGGUACUCACGCAGCUGCCGCGCCACGUCCUGCUUGGCCGGCUGCGGGGCGGCCUGCAGCUUGGAGAGCUUGGCGUUGGCAUCCUUAACUGUCAGCUCCUCCGGCUGCUUGGCCUCUGCGAUGGCGGCCUCCAGGGAAGCCCUCUGGCCCUUGAGGCCCUCAGUCUCAGCCUGGGGCUCACUGAUGUUCUGGUUUAUCCCGGAGAUCUCAGUCUUUGUAUGCGGCACCUCAUCCCAGUGCUUCCCAGACAGCGUCUGCAGCUCCUCAUACUUGAUCUGGUACAUGCUCUCAGCCUCAGCCCGGCUGCCGUUGGUGAUCUCGUACUGCGCCUUGACCUCAGCGAUGAUGCUGUCCGUGUCCCGGGAGCAGCUGUUGUCCAUGGACAGCACCACAGAUGUGGCCGAGAUCUGGGACUGCAGCUCCCGGAUCUCCUCUUCUCACAGCGGCCUGAGGAAGUUGAUCUUGUCAGUCAGCCCUUCCAGGCGAGACUCCAGCUCUACCUUGUUCAUGUAAGCUUCAUUCACGUCCUUCUUGAUGAGGACAAAUUCAUUCUCCAUCUCUGUAGGCUUAUUGAUCUCAUCCUCCUACUUGCUCUUGAAGUCCUCCACCAGCCCCUGCAUGUUGCCAAGCCCCGCCUCCAGCUUCAGCUUCUCCUGGUCCAGAGUCUCCAGCUGCCCCCUAAGGUUGUUGAUGUAGCUCUCAAACAUGUUGUCCAUGUUGCUCUGAGUCGUCUGCUGCUGCUGCUGCUGCAGGAGGCUCCACUUGGUCUCCAGCAUCUUGUUCUGCUGCCCCAGGAACCGUAUCCUGUCGAUGAAGGAGGCAAACUUGUUGAGGGUCUUGAUCUGCUCCUUCUCCUGGGUACGCACGGCCUGGAUGUUGGGGUUCACCUCCAUGGAGGUUAA
RNAcentral lists this long non-coding RNA (1014 nucleotides) under Papio anubis (olive baboon). RNAcentral's name for it is "lncRNA (ENSPANG00000050041.1)". The record is from RNAcentral. Lineage: Eukaryota; Metazoa; Chordata; Mammalia; Primates; Cercopithecidae.